RNAcentral lists this ribosomal RNA (554 nucleotides) under Kluyveromyces lactis. RNAcentral describes it as "partial large subunit ribosomal RNA". It matches the Rfam family "Eukaryotic large subunit ribosomal RNA", at positions 58 to 653 of the family's 3401-position model. Lineage: Eukaryota; Fungi; Ascomycota; Saccharomycetes; Saccharomycetales; Saccharomycetaceae. The record is from RNAcentral.
AAAGAAACCAACCGGGAUUGCCUUAGUAACGGCGAGUGAAGCGGCAAAAGCUCAAAUUUGAAAUCUGGCGUCUUCGACGUCCGAGUUGUAAUUUGAAGAAGGCAACUUUGUAGCUGGUCCUUGUCUAUGUUCCUUGGAACAGGACGUCAUAGAGGGUGAGAAUCCCGUGUGGCGAGGAUCCCAGUUAUUUGUAAAGUGCUUUCGACGAGUCGAGUUGUUUGGGAAUGCAGCUCUAAGUGGGUGGUAAAUUCCAUCUAAAGCUAAAUAUUGGCGAGAGACCGAUAGCGAACAAGUACAGUGAUGGAAAGAUGAAAAGAACUUUGAAAAGAGAGUGAAAAAGUACGUGAAAUUGUUGAAAGGGAAGGGCAUUUGAUCAGACAUGGCGUUUGCUUCGGCUUUCGCUGGGCCAGCAUCAGUUUUAGCGGUUGGAUAAAUCCUCGGGAAUGUGGCUCUGCUUCGGUAGAGUGUUAUAGCCCGUGGGAAUACAGCCAGCUGGGACUGAGGAUUGCGACUUUUGUCAAGGAUGCUGGCGUAAUGGUUAAAUGCCGCCCGUC